RNAcentral lists this transfer RNA (72 nucleotides) under Vibrio phage 1.007.O._10N.261.55.F9. RNAcentral describes it as "tRNA-Gly". It matches the Rfam family "tRNA". Rfam says of the family: Transfer RNA (tRNA) molecules are approximately 80 nucleotides in length. Their secondary structure includes four short double-helical elements and three loops (D, anti-codon, and T loops). Lineage: Duplodnaviria; Heunggongvirae; Uroviricota; Caudoviricetes. The record is from RNAcentral.
GCAACAUUAACUCAGUGGUAGAGCUGGAGGUUUCCAACCUUUAUGUCGAGAGUUCAAAUCUCUCAUGUUACU